CCUACGGGAGGCAGCAGUGGGGAAUUUUGCGCAAUGGGGGCAACCCCGACGCAGCAACGCCGCGUGAGUGAUGAAGGCCUUCUGGUCGUAAAGCUCUGUCAGAGGGGAAGAAAUGCAGGUGGUGAACAACCAUUCUGUUUGACGGUACCCUCAAAGGAAGCACCGGCUAACUCCGUGCCAGCAGCCGCGGUAAUACGGAGGGUGCGAGCGUUGUUCGGAAUUAUUGGGCGUAAAGCGCGUGUAGGCGGUUUGUUAAUUCUGAGGAAAAAGCCCCGGGCACAACCGGGAAAUUGCAUUGGAUACUGGCAGGCUUGAGUGCGGGAGAGGAGAGUGAAAUUCCCGGUGUAGG
RNAcentral lists this ribosomal RNA (349 nucleotides) under uncultured Geobacteraceae bacterium. Its description in RNAcentral is "partial 16S ribosomal RNA". It matches the Rfam family "Bacterial small subunit ribosomal RNA", at positions 338 to 679 of the family's 1533-position model. Lineage: Bacteria; Pseudomonadati; Thermodesulfobacteriota; Desulfuromonadia; Geobacterales; Geobacteraceae. The record is from RNAcentral.